UACGAAGGGGGCUAGCGUUGCUCGGAAUCACUGGGCGUAAAGCGCACGUAGGCGGACUUUUAAGUCGGAGGUGAAAUCCUGGAGCUCAACUCCAGAACUGCCUUCGAUACUGAGAGUCUUCGAGUUCGGGAGAGGUGAGUGGAACUGCGAGUGUAGAGGUGAAAUUCGUAGAUAUUCGCAAGAACACCAGUGGCGAAGGCGGCUCACUGGCCCGAUACUGACGCUGAGGUGCGAAAGCAUGGGGAGCGAACGGG
RNAcentral lists this ribosomal RNA (254 nucleotides) under uncultured bacterium. Its description in RNAcentral is "partial 16S ribosomal RNA". It matches the Rfam family "Bacterial small subunit ribosomal RNA", at positions 524 to 776 of the family's 1533-position model. The record is from RNAcentral.